AUUGAACGCUGGCGGCAUGCCUUACACAUGCAAGUCGAACGGCAGCACGGGGCAACCUGGUGGCGAGUGGCGAACGGGUGAGUAAUACAUCGGAACGUGCCCAAUCGUGGGGGAUAACGUAGCGAAAGUUACGCUAAUACCGCAUACGAUCUACGGAUGAAAGCGGGGGAUCGCAAGACCUCGCGCGAAUGGAGCGGCCGAUGUCAGAUUAGGUAGUUGGUGGGGUAAAGGCUCACCAAGCCAACGAUCUGUAGCUGGUCUGAGAGGACGACCAGCCACACUGGAACUGAGACACGGUCCAGACUCCUACGGGAGGCAGCAGUGGGGAAUUUUGGACAAUGGGCGCAAGCCUGAUCCAGCCAUUCCGCGUGCAGGAUGAAGGCCUUCGGGUUGUAACUAGCUUUGUUACGGUACGAAACGGUAC
RNAcentral lists this ribosomal RNA (424 nucleotides) under uncultured bacterium. Its description in RNAcentral is "bacterial SSU rRNA". It matches the Rfam family "Bacterial small subunit ribosomal RNA", at positions 30 to 456 of the family's 1533-position model. The record is from RNAcentral.